GGGCACCGAGCCUCGGCCGCCCCUCGGCGGGGACGGGAAGGGAACGGGGCAGAGCCGGUGCCGGUGUGUCCCCGGUUCUCUUCCCCGCUGCUGUCUCGGACACACGGUCCCGACGAGGCUCGGGCACCGCGGGGCUGGCGGAGGAUGUUCCUCUUUUCUGUGUCUCCACAAACCCAGCACUGAUGGUCCCAGACGUUACUUGUUUGCUUUAUUAAUAGCCAUGGAGAAGCGAGAACUGCCUACGACAAAGGUCACGGCUACCAAUUCCUGUUAACAGGCCAGGAGUGGGUAUUUUGGGGAAUCCCAUGCUUGACGUAACCCUCCCUGGGAAGAGCCCACAGCUCUGGGAGUUUCCAAGCUGGUGGCCAGUGCUAUAAGAGCAGGAGUGGGUUAAGGGAAGGACAGGAGUCCUGGAGCCUGCUGACAGCCCCCCACACAGCGAGGCUGUGCUGCCAGCCACGACGAUCGUCCCUUCCCCUCCUCAGUGUCUCCCCACGCAUGCCAGAGCUGACUUCACUUCUUGCCAGUAACUCCCUAGCUAUGAAAGCAGAUACGAACAGUGGGCUUGUGUGCCACUGGGUCUGCUUCCAUGGGUAGAGCCCCCGGUCCAGCUGGGAUUGAGCCCUCGCUGCCUCUUCACCCCUCUCCCUGUUGCACCGUUUCCCCUGGAGGAAGCUCCAGCACGGAGAUGGAGGCCCGGCCGCCAGCCCUGCUCGGGAAGUAAGCAGGAGGGAGAUGGCACAGAGGUCGACACCAACGUUAUCCGGUUCCCAGCUGGGGUGGGACACUGCUGCGGGCAAGGAGGAGGAGCUCGGCUCUUCUCCUUCUCCAGUAAUGUUUCAUGGUUGGGAGGUACCAAAUAACUCCCGUAAAACACUGUCCUGGGUGUGCUCUGCUCACAGUGCCGCUGGGACAGGAGCUUUGGUAUUCCUGCAACAUCCUGUCUGUCUUGUCCAAAACACCAAAUAAACAAUGCCAAGUGUGCC
Long non-coding RNA from Strigops habroptila (Kakapo), 986 nucleotides. RefSeq lists it as uncharacterized. Lineage: Eukaryota; Metazoa; Chordata; Aves; Psittaciformes; Psittacidae. The record is from RefSeq and is a predicted model, not a curated record. The transcript has 3 exons.